UUUGCCACAAUGAAUUUAAACCAACUAGGCAUUUCACCUUUAUCCGCCAUUGUACCUAUCAAGAACUACUAAACAAACAUCACAAAAACAGCAAACACAUUAAAGGUUAGCAAAAAUCAGUCCACAAUUCAUCUCAAAAUAGUCUGCAAUCUCUCUAGCUCACACUUUUGAAGUAUUCACUCUGUUGGCCUCACAAGUGUUGAUAACUCACUUAUACUUCAAUGAGCUUACUUGG
RNAcentral lists this long non-coding RNA (235 nucleotides) under Capsicum annuum. Its description in RNAcentral is "long non-coding RNA (CANN_LNC018262)". The record is from RNAcentral. Lineage: Eukaryota; Viridiplantae; Streptophyta; Magnoliopsida; Solanales; Solanaceae.